This is a long non-coding RNA of Eucalyptus grandis, 765 nucleotides long. RefSeq lists it as uncharacterized. The record is from RefSeq and is a predicted model, not a curated record. The transcript is spliced from 3 exons. NCBI's taxonomy places the organism in Eukaryota, Viridiplantae, Streptophyta, Magnoliopsida, Myrtales, Myrtaceae.
CCAUAGAGCUCGUGUAAGGAAAAGAAAGGAAAGAAAGGAGAAGGAGAAGAAGAAAAGGAAGAAAAAGAGGGUUUUGAGCAUUUUUGCCAUGGGAGCCUUGCCAAGCCACCUCAACUAUGUAAUAUAACGCCUAGAAUACGCAUGCGUUGGCUCGAGUAAUUACAUAGGUUGAUUUUCGGCUUUCCCAGGUUCUCUUCUUCCUCUCCCGCUGCUCAAGUAAAUUGUUCUUGCCCGCUCUUCGCCCGAUCCUCAGCUGCUCCACGCUCGACGCCUGGUCCUCAUCGCUCCUCGCUCACUCUCGAGCUUCAAUUCGCCAUCAUCUAUUCUUGUAGGGAUCAUGCUUUCAUUUCCAAAGUCACCGAAUUUUUAAGAAUCGGCGAUUGCACUGCUAUUAAAUAUUGGUUCAAUCUCCUUUCCAAUGUAAAAGAAAGUUGUUACCGAACUCGGAAAAAUAGUUUGUUUUUACUGAACUCUCAUCUCUCUUCUGAACCAUUCGAUAGUUUUCAUGCUUUUGUAGGGACUGGGAAAGAGGUGUUAUCUAGGCAUAUGCAGUCUGGUCUACAAUUGAUUGUCGCUUGAAUACGAGAUUCAUGAAGAAUUAAUGCUUUCCAGUUUUUUGUAACUUAGCUAUUUAGGUUUCUGUUUGUCAUCCUCGUUAGUUUUCAUUUUUUACCAAUAUGGCACAAGAGUGUAAUGCAUAUUGGAUCCUGUCCAUCAUGGCAUUUGGAUAAGGUCCCUCACUAUUACGUCAAGUAUUACUGCAUU